UGCAGAAAGGGUCAGCUGCCAUUGUC
Molecule: non-coding RNA, 26 nt
Filed under: Mus musculus (house mouse)
Lineage: Eukaryota; Metazoa; Chordata; Mammalia; Rodentia; Muridae
Source: RNAcentral